Molecule: long non-coding RNA, 2463 nt
Organism: Cavia porcellus (domestic guinea pig)
Lineage: Eukaryota; Metazoa; Chordata; Mammalia; Rodentia; Caviidae
Exons: 2
Source: RefSeq, a predicted model, not a curated record
GCAUGGCUGCAGAGGGACAGAGAGAGAAUGCACCGCGACCCAGGAAAACCAGUGACGAGCCACACCAAGAGAGGACACAGAUAAAGACAGAAUGGGAGCCGAGAGAGGGAGAACUAGAAAACAGGCAUUCAGGACAGCACGCGAGGCACAGGGAGCAGAAGACUGAGUGGGCAAAUGAGGCAAGGCAAGAGGCGGAGGAGAGACAGAGAUGAAAGACAGACAGGCAGACAGAGGUGAAAGGAAGUUGGCGAGAUGGCUAAGCCAGGGAGGAGCAGAAGGGAAGCCAGGUCCAAAGGGAGGCAUCUCUCUUUCUCUCCGUCCUGUACACACUCAGGUUUCUCCACACCCAAGCCCUUCUCACUGUCCUCUGGGCCCUGGCAGGAAUAGGAGAGGAUGGACAGACGGACGGUCUCGGGCAGCAGCAGGCCUGGGCUCGAGCACAACGGCGAGUGAGAGCGAUAUUCUCUGUCGGCCACACGCCUGUCACUUUCACCUUGCACAUCGUGGAUGCACACACUGGGACCCCGGAAAAGCUUCUCACAGUCUGCCAAGCACAGUGGUCCAGGGUGCUCUCUGAGCCUCCCUGAGCCUCUCCCUCACUCUGCUCCCCUCUGGCAUCUUCCUGGACCGCCUACCUCAAAUGACCCACCUGGCCCUCUUAUCCACCUCGUGCCCCACCCAAGAGGACUGCAAGAAGAUGGCAGCGCAAGAGGAGCCAGAAGCUGUCCCGGAGUGGCGGGGGCCGAGGGGAGACGUCCACCCUGUGCCUUGCCCCCUCCUUCCUGUGUUUGCCUCCGCCCAUCUCCACCAGGCCCGCUGUCUCCACGUGGCUGGCUCUGGAGAUAGAAGCCAAGACACAACCCACACCUUCCCCAGACCCAAGGGGCAGAGAUGCAGGCUCAGAAGGAAAGGAGGUGGCCAGGGAAGAAUGGAGAAGCUAAACUACAGAUGAAAACCAAGGGAAGGAACAAGGAAGAGGAUGCAGUAGAACUCCAGAGCGAAGAAGAGGAAAGGAACGGAGGCCAGGAACAGAGACGUGCUGGGCAGCACUGAUGGGACAGGCCAGUGGAGGCGGGGCGCUCCGGAUUUCUAGCAAACCUUACAAAACACUUGUAGGGUUGAACUCAGAUCUUUCCUGUGCUUGCCAGCCUUCACCACAGAGCUCAGAGGAGUGUUUCCCUCUAGCAGAAACUGGAGCCAAAUACCUGCCCUCAGACUUCGAGGCCUAUGCCAGGAUGCAGGACACCUGGCCUUCAUUUGCCGUGGACAACAAGGGGUCCCAGGGAUCCACUGUUCCCAAAUCUGCUAAGAAAUCUAACCCAUCUUUACCUGUUCCACAUCUGGCCAACAAACUCUCAGCUGCAGCUGUCCCCACCCACUUCAUCCAGUGACAGCAAACCCAGCCCAAGGGAUCCCGUGAUGUCUUGCCACCUCCCAGCAUCCCACAGUAGUGAACAGCCCACUCGUAUCCGGAUCCGUCCAGAGCACAACACGGCUGCCCUCAGCCUGUGCCUGCACCCUGGCUCACAAACCACCACUUAGGGAGCACCUUGCGGGUUCCACUCUGAAGCCAUCAGUCGCUCACAUCAAGAGAACUGUUGCCCCACUAGAGCCCCGUGCCAACCAUCCCGAGCCACAUGUGCAACAGCACACUCCAGACCUACAGCCAAAGUCCCCCCGUGUGGUUUAGGAGGAGGCUGACUGAGCCCAGGGGUCUGCACAAAUGCCCGAGCUACCUGCUUACUUCUGAAUCUCAUCAGCACCCCCGCCCAGCCCCUGCAGGCUCCCACAGGGAGACCACCCCCACCCUGUGGCUCAAGGCCCACCGCUUGCAGUCCUCAGUUGUCUCCUGUCCCCUCACCGGACACAGCCAUGACAACCUUCCACCCAUAGCUAAGCCCCUGCUGCCAAGGCCUGAGACUCCCUCGGGGAGCUCGGGUGCCCUGUGGCACACCCCUGGCUAGUUUGUCUGAAUCAUCUUUGUGACCCUGGGACCCAUUUCACAUGUCCUUUCAUGGAAAUAUGGGAGGACUGAGGGAGGGAGAAUCGAGGUGAUAACAGCCCUGGUACUCAGAGGGCACUAGGCCCAGGUGACUAAGGCCAGGGGGCCCCAUUCAGCACAGUUUCUAACAGUGAGUAAGAACCAGCGGGCCGGCCACCGCUUCCUACCUGAAAUUUAUGCUUUGUCCUCUUCUAGAACCUUCCCUCACUGCCUUCCUCCAUUCCCUAACCCAGGUCAAUCUAUUCCUCCAUUCCCUAAUGCAGCACCUGCAGUUCAGGUUGACAGUGUUUGAGCCUGACUUUUCAGGGACCCUGGGAGGCCCUUGUAGACCCACGAGGGUCCUCUUCUUUGCCCCUCCAAGGAUAAGUCAAGGCCUAGUGCAGAACAAAUCCCAGGAAAUGUUGGCUGCAGGAAUAAAUGGAGUUUACAUGUCUGCAGGAAUAAAUAUGAGUUUACAUGUC